UGAGACGUCUGUUUCCAUGGUAGCGGUAUAAGAACAGACCACAAAGAGGAAGAUUUCAAAAGCUCCAGUAACCUGUCUUCAGAAUUCUGUGGUUGCUAAUAAUCUCAGGAGACCCCGGAAUCCUAGGACAUACAGAAUCAGCAGUGAGAAAGGAAAAGAUCAAGCUCCAAUCUUUGCCCCUUCCUUCACACGGUGCUAAUAUGUGAGGACAAGACCAAAGAGACCCAUUAGCUAAGUUGUAUCCUAAAAAGAAGAUAGUUAAAACUAGUGAAUGGUGCUCGUAGUACUGUAUUUUGGUCAUAAUAACAGUACCUUCUCUCAGCAUUCUCAAUUAUAUUGAUAAAAUUAAUAUCUAAUAGAGGAUAUCUGUGCACGUCACCUUAAAAGAUAAAAUGUCUUCUAGGCUAUAAUGGAUAAAGAAAGACUUGACAGUAUUAACAUACUUUAAAAAAAAAGAAUGUAUCAAAAGAAUGGAGAGAGUCAGCAUGAAAUAUGGUAAACAUGGAGUGAAAGAAGAAGAUUUUGGCGGCGUUUAUCCAUGUUGUCUAGAAAAUGGAAAGAGACUGAAUCUGAGGGAGAAACACUGAAUCUGGAGAAACACCAAAGUGGUCAUUACUUAUAUCUCUAUUGUGGGGUAGAGAUUUUUUAUUGGGUUUUAUCAUAACUUGAAUGAAAUCUCUCCCUGGUUUAUACAGUUUCUGUGCUUGCCAAGUAAUUUUUAAUUUCUAAAUUUGCUUCUUGAUUAACAAGCUGCCAAGAAGCAGAUGCAAGCAUACUAUUCACUGUGGAGGUGUACCCUCCAUUGUAAAUUAAUAUAUUUUCAUGAGAUUGGAAGAUCCGAUCAGUGCUCAUGGCCAUGGUUUUUACUUUAAAUCAGUAAAUUUGACCUUCUGGCUAUGUAUCAUUUAUUGAGAAUUUGAGGUCCACGAGCUCAGACUCAUGAAUAAAACCAACUCAGGAAAAGAGACCACAACCUGGACAAUGAUGCCACAUCUCAUGAGAUUGCCCAAGUAACUAGCUCUAACCCCAGUUGAGAAGCAGGAUGAAGAGUCCAGUACAGAGUGGGUUGCAUGGAUCAUGAAGCUUAGGGGUGUUCUUUUUAUUGAGUGCUUGGCAUACGACGUGAGGAAGGGUAAAGGCAGAAAAUACAUCCCAUCAAUAAGAAGCUUCAGGUAUCUCACGAUAUCAAGAUGGGAGAAAAAUGAUAAUAACCCACUGGUUACACAUUCAGAAGAAAACCAGAUAGUUCAGUAAAAAAAUGCAUUUCCUGGAACUAGAAUUAACGUCAAAUGUCCUUUUUUUAAUGGAUUUUAUUUUCAACAAUGAAAAAGGCUUUUUGUUUGUUUCUGAUUAUAACAGUAAUGGGAUUAAUGGGGAAAAUGGUGGUAUAAUUGCACAUUUAUCCACGCCCAAUAUUUACUGAAAGGAAGCAAAAGAACCACCUAAGAAAAAGAAAACUUUAUUAAUGCUGAAACUAAACCAGGCUUCAUCUUCAUAAUACAAUCUCUGGAUAAAGGAUGCCGAGGGCAAGUACAUGGUUCUCCUGCUCAUGAGCAUGAUGAGUUGGGCUGUGGGAAGUGGGCAGAGAUGGUGCAGAAGGACCCCAGUGGUGCUUCUCAACUAGAGAAGCAGAUACCAGUCGUAUGAGUGGGCUUCAGCCAGGAUGGAUAUCAUCUUACUUGGAGUGGAGGGGAUUUUGAAAGAAAGACUGUAUGGCUAACUUCCUUAGCAGUAGAGAUCUACAGAUGAACCUUUGUUGAAGCUGUGGACCAGAAAUAAUAGUAUUGACUCAUAAAAUGAAGUGUGCACUAAUCCUUUAAGGAGAAGUCUCAAUAUUGAAAAUAGAUUCUACAUCAGAAGUAGCAAAAUAAGCACAAAUUUAAGAGGUGCCCCACAUGGAACAGAGGAUAGCACAAAAAAUGGAUGAUAAUGAAAGAUUUUUAAAAAAUUCAAAAAG
Equus caballus (horse) is the source of this 1957-nucleotide long non-coding RNA. The record is from Ensembl. NCBI's taxonomy places the organism in Eukaryota, Metazoa, Chordata, Mammalia, Perissodactyla, Equidae.